AUCUGGGAAGGAGGGGAGGACGGAGGCAAAAUGGGAAAGACAUAGAGCCCGCUGGUGUGGUUACAGCUCCAAGAGGAGCUUUUGGAGAAUCAGAAUUACAACUUGGAUGUGUAUAUUCUCGCUAAUGAACCAGGGCUUGCCAUGGGAAGUUCUGCAAGGAAAUAAACCCGGAGGCCUGCCCGCCGCCCAGCCUGGCCUCUGGGCCCCCAGGGGAAAGCUGCCGUAUUAAAGGGGCCCAUGCCCUCAUCGCUGGAGGAGACAAGGGAGCGAGCACUUGGCUGCACCACAGAAAUUACUGCUGUACCUCGAAUGCCCGCUUCAUUUAUCAAUUUCAUAGCAGAAAAACCCAUAUGACUGCCUUGUUCACUCGUACGCUAAAUCUCGACACGAAAGCUCCCCACCGCCAGUCAAGUGUGUUAUGUGUGGGUCUGGAUAAAGUAACUUGAAAUACCACUAAUGAUUUAUACUUAAUUGAACCUCUAAGUGAUUAAAGUGGCAGUAAUGAAUGAAUAACACCCUCCCUGUUCCCUCGCCCGCCGGGCCCAGCGUCUCCAGGCAGAGUGGGCCUCGCCUGGGGACAUCAGCUCGGACAGCCAGCCUGAGCCAUUCCCUAGGCUUCCCCCCCAAGCUGCUCGUCUGGGUCCGGGCUAAAUUGCUCUCGCCUGCAGUAAAUGACUCCAUAAGCACCGUA
Neofelis nebulosa (Clouded leopard) is the source of this 691-nucleotide long non-coding RNA. RefSeq lists it as uncharacterized. The record is from RefSeq and is a predicted model, not a curated record. The transcript has 2 exons. Lineage: Eukaryota; Metazoa; Chordata; Mammalia; Carnivora; Felidae.